RNAcentral lists this ribosomal RNA (329 nucleotides) under uncultured eukaryote. RNAcentral describes it as "partial 18S ribosomal RNA". It matches the Rfam family "Eukaryotic small subunit ribosomal RNA", at positions 1470 to 1796 of the family's 1831-position model. The record is from RNAcentral.
CUCUUCGAUGUUCUGGGCUGCACGCGCGCUACAGUGGCAAAGACAGAGAGCAUGAAUUAAUUAUAGAGUCGCAUCGAGGGAUGUGACGAAUCAGCAAUCGUUGUCGUGAUUGGGAUUGAGCGUUGUAAUAUUUGCUCAUGAAAGAGGAAUUCCUCGUAAGCGCGAGUCACUAACUCGUGUUAAUUACGUCUCUGCCCUUUGUACACACCGCCCGUCGCUACUACCGAUUGAACUGGUUUUUGAAGUGUAGAGAUUGGCAGGCAUGGUUUACGUGCAUUGCAAAGAACCACUCUGAAAAAAGCGUUCGAGAAGAAGUAAAAGUCGUAACA